Molecule: unclassified non-coding RNA, 236 nt
Filed under: Hevea brasiliensis (rubber tree)
Lineage: Eukaryota; Viridiplantae; Streptophyta; Magnoliopsida; Malpighiales; Euphorbiaceae
Source: RNAcentral
GCCACCCACACCCACCGGAACCUAUCUAUUUGUAUGUUCUUCUUACAAAUCCUUCCAUUGCUGCUUUGAUUGGGGUCCCUUUUUCCAGUUCCUCCUAUAGUUUGUGUACAAGCAUUAUGUCCCUAAUUGGCUUUACACUUGCAGCUUCCAUACACUUGCAGUAUCAUUUUGGCAGCAUGCUGAGUUUGCUUAUACUGUAGCUCCAUCACUGCAGUGCCCCAUCACAUCAUUUUUUA